UCACCGGAGCCGUCAUCUUCUCUGUUUUACCGAUUU
Molecule: small RNA, 36 nt
Filed under: Arabidopsis thaliana (thale cress)
Lineage: Eukaryota; Viridiplantae; Streptophyta; Magnoliopsida; Brassicales; Brassicaceae
Description: ATSL075680
Source: RNAcentral